This is a long non-coding RNA of Vicia villosa (hairy vetch), 1084 nucleotides long. RefSeq lists it as uncharacterized. The transcript is spliced from 3 exons. NCBI's taxonomy places the organism in Eukaryota, Viridiplantae, Streptophyta, Magnoliopsida, Fabales, Fabaceae. The record is from RefSeq and is a predicted model, not a curated record.
UCAAACAUUCGUCUCAUUGACGCAUCUAAACCUGCAAGAGAGUUUCCAACAUACAACUUCGCUUGCCUCACUAUUCAGAUCAGCAACGCAGCACACAGAACUCGUAUAUUAGGUGUACAACAAAAUUCUCAAAAGACUCAAAGUUUCAAGGAGACACAAUCCAUUGAUUUAGCUGGUGAUUUUAGUAAAGGUGAAAAUGGAGAAUUGAACUUUGUUAGGGAAGAUAGAGGGAGUUUUGAUUUGCAAGAUCUUCCAUCUGCAGCACAUCGACACAACUUUAUCCUUCAAGCAGAUCCUCCAUCUUUAAUAUCAACUUUCAGCACUGAUUUUCUCCAAUCUUCAACGCAAUCGCAAACACCGACACGAGCUUCACCUCACGGACCACAUCAUCAUCAUCAUCGGCGAAAACGAAAACUGACACACACAACUUCAACGAUUCGAGAACACAGGUGAGCUCAACGCAGCAACGUCAUUGAUCAUCGUUAUCUGAUUCAAUCUACAAUAACGAUUCAGGACGCUUCUCUGACGAUAUUUUCGCUCAUUUUUAACCAAAACCAAAGCCACCCUAAUUCUCACCCUCAAAACGAGGUUGAGAUUCUAUCUGAUUACUAAUCAAGUGUUAUUUUUAUUACGUGCUUGUAUCACACCCAAGUAAAUUUGAACUUUCAAACGUGAGAGAUGGAUGCAUGGAAAGUGUUUGUAAAAAUGUCUGUUUGAACUUUGAAGGACUUCUUCAUAUACACCUUCUGCAAGGAAAGGAUCUCGACCUGCUCGUUGUCAUUUUUCUUUAAGAAUUGGCUGUGAGGAAACUACUAGAGAAAUCAGACGUAUCGAGCAAGUUUUCAAUUCAAGGUUUUUUAAGCAUUAUGGAAACACCGUUUAUGACAGGGCUGGUUGUGGCUGCAGCAGCUUAUGCAGGUAGAUAUGGUAUCCAGGCUUGGCAAGCAUUCAAGACUAGACCGGCUGGGAUGUGUAAAUUUUAUGAAGGUGGUUUUCAUGCUACCAUGAAUAAGAGGGAAGCAGCUCUCAUCCUUGGUGUUAGGUAUUUGCAUUUUUGUUUUGUAAGAUUGGUUUAGUUUGUAUU